This 81-nucleotide transfer RNA is filed under the name Brassica oleracea var. oleracea. It matches the Rfam family "tRNA". From Rfam's summary of the family: Transfer RNA (tRNA) molecules are approximately 80 nucleotides in length. The record is from Rfam by way of RNAcentral. Lineage: Eukaryota; Viridiplantae; Streptophyta; Magnoliopsida; Brassicales; Brassicaceae.
GUUGAUAUGGCCGAGUUGGUCUAAGGCGCAGGACUAAGGCUCCUGUCCGAAAGGGGGUGGGUUCAAAUUCCUCUGUCAACA